UACGUAGGGUGCGAGCGUUGUCCGGAAUUAUUGGGCGUAAAGAGCGUGUAGGCGGUUAGGUAGGUCCGUUGUGAAAACUCGAGGCUCAACCUCGAGACGCCGAUGGAAACCAUCUGACUAGAGUCCGGAAGAGGAGAGUGGAAUUCCUGGUGUAGCGGUGAAAUGCGCAGAUAUCAGGAAGAACACCCGUGGCUAAGGCGGCUCUCUAGUACGUGACUGACGCUGAGACGCGAAAGCGUGGGGAGCGAACAGG
RNAcentral lists this ribosomal RNA (253 nucleotides) under uncultured bacterium. Its description in RNAcentral is "partial 16S ribosomal RNA". It matches the Rfam family "Bacterial small subunit ribosomal RNA", at positions 524 to 776 of the family's 1533-position model. The record is from RNAcentral.